GCAAGUCGAGCGGCAGCGACAACAUUGAACCUUCGGGGGAUUUGUUGGGCGGCGAGCGGCGGACGGGUGAGUAAUGCCUGGGAAAUUGCCCUGAUGUGGGGGAUAACCAUUGGAAACGAUGGCUAAUACCGCAUGAUAGCUUCGGCUCAAAGAGGGGGACCUUCGGGCCUCUCGCGUCAGGAUAUGCCCAGGUGGGAUUAGCUAGUUGGUGAGGUAAGGGCUCACCAAGGCGACGAUCCCUAGCUGGUCUGAGAGGAUGAUCAGCCACACUGGAACUGAGACACGGUCCAGACUCCUACGGGAGGCAGCAGUGGGGAAUAUUGCACAAUGGGCGCAAGCCUGAUGCAGCCAUGCCGCGUGUAUGAAGAAGGCCUUCGGGUUGUAAAGUACUUUCAGCAGUGAGGAAGGAGGUAUCGUUAAUAGCGGUAUCUUUUGACGUUAGCUGCAGAAGAAGCACCGGCUAACUCCGUGCCAGCAGCCGCGGUAAUACGGAGGGUGCGAGCGUUAAUCGGAAUUACUGGGCGUAAAGCGCAUGCAGGUGGUUUGUUAAGUCAGAUGUGAAAGCCCGGGGCUCAACCUCGGAAUUGCAUUUGAAACUGGCAGGCUAGAGUACUGUAGAGGGGGGUAGAAUUUCAGGUGUAGCGGUGAAAUGCGUAGAGAUCUGAAGGAAUACCGGUGGCGAAGGCGGCCCCCUGGACAGAUACUGACACU
Molecule: ribosomal RNA, 711 nt
Filed under: uncultured bacterium
Lineage: Bacteria
Description: bacterial SSU rRNA
Rfam family: Bacterial small subunit ribosomal RNA
Source: RNAcentral